RNAcentral lists this ribosomal RNA (468 nucleotides) under uncultured bacterium. Its description in RNAcentral is "partial 16S ribosomal RNA". It matches the Rfam family "Bacterial small subunit ribosomal RNA", at positions 28 to 507 of the family's 1533-position model. The record is from RNAcentral.
GACGAACGCUGGCGGCGUGCUUAACACAUGCAAGUCGAACGGAAAGGCCCUGCUUUUGUGGGGUGCUCGAGUGGCGAACGGGUGAGUAACACGUGAGUAACCUGCCCUUGACUUUGGGAUAACUUCAGGAAACUGGGGCUAAUACCGGAUAGGAGCUCCUGCUGCAUGGUGGGGGUUGGAAAGUUUCGGCGGUUGGGGAUGGACUCGCGGCUUAUCAGCUUGUGGGUGGGGUAGUGGCUUACCAAGGCUUUGACGGGUAGCCGGCCUGAGAGGGUGACCGGCCACCUUGGGCCUGAGAUACGGCCCAGACUCCUACGGGAGGCAGCAGUGGGGAAUAUUGCACAAUGGGCGGAAGCCUGAUGCAGCAACGCCGCGUGCGGGAUGACGGCCUUCGGGUUGUAAACCGCUUUCGCCUGUGACGAAGCGUGAGUGACGGUAAUGGGUAAAGAAGCACCGGCUAACUACGUG